AAUAGAUACCCAGGUAGUCCACGCCGUAAACGAUGUCGACUUGGAGGUUGUUCCCUUGAGGAGUGGCUUCCGGAGCUAACGCGUUAAGUCGACCGCCUGGGGAGUACGGCCGCAAGGUUAAAACUCAAAUGAAUUGACGGGGGCCCGCACAAGCGGUGGAGCAUGUGGUUUAAUUCGAUGCAACGCGAAGAACCUUACCUGGUCUUGACAUCCACAGAAUUCUGCAGAGAUGCGGAAGUGCCUUCGGGAACUGUGAGACAGGUGCUGCAUGGCUGUCGUCAGCUCGUGUUGUGAAAUGUUGGGUUAAGUCCCGCAACGAGCGCAACCCUUAUCCUUUGUUGCCAGCGGUUAGGCCGGGAACUCAAAGGAGACUGCCAGUGAUAAACUGGAGGAAGGUGGGGAUGACGUCAAGUCAUCAUGGCCCUUACGACCAGGGCUACACACGUGCUACAAUGGCAUAUACAAAGAGAAGCGACCUCGCGAGAGCAAGCGGACCUCAUAAAGUAUGUCGUAGUCCGGAUCGGAGU
RNAcentral lists this ribosomal RNA (527 nucleotides) under uncultured bacterium. RNAcentral's name for it is "bacterial SSU rRNA". It matches the Rfam family "Bacterial small subunit ribosomal RNA", at positions 777 to 1304 of the family's 1533-position model. The record is from RNAcentral.